This is a long non-coding RNA of Eleginops maclovinus (Patagonian blennie), 262 nucleotides long. RefSeq lists it as uncharacterized. Lineage: Eukaryota; Metazoa; Chordata; Actinopteri; Perciformes; Eleginopidae. The record is from RefSeq and is a predicted model, not a curated record. The transcript is spliced from 4 exons.
GCAGAAACGUAAGGGGCCUCCGGGGCCUCCUGGACCUCCUGGGGAUGAAGGACCAAUUGGGCCACCUGGAAUUACCGGGAAGCAAGGACGAAAAGGAGUUGAAGGGAAAAUCGGCAGUCCUGGACCGCGGGGGGUCCCGGGUCCUCAGGGCCGACCCGGGCGGGACGGGACCCUGGGAAACCCUGCUGCCCCGGGACAUCCAGGCCUACCAGGAGAACAGGGCCCCCAAGGCUACAGAGGAGAGAGAGGCAGCAAAGGGGAG